GACGAACGCUGGCGGCGUGCUUAACACAUGCAAGUCGAGCGGUAAGGCCCUUUCGGGGGUACACGAGCGGCGAACGGGUGAGUAACACGUGGGUGACCUGCCCUUAGCUCUGGGAUAAGCCUGGGAAACUGGGUCUAAUACCGGAUAUGACUCCAUGACGCAUGUUGUGGGGUGGAAAGCCUUGUGCGGCUAGGGAUGGGCCCGCGGCCUAUCAGCUUGUUGGUGGGGUGAUGGCCUACCAAGGCGACGACGGGUAGCCGGCCUGAGAGGGCGACCGGCCACACUGGGACUGAGACACGGCCCAGACUCCUACGGGAGGCAGCAGUGGGGAAUCUUGCGCAAUGGGCGAAAGCCUGACGCAGCGACGCCGCGUGAGGGAUGACGGCCUCGGUUGUAACU
This 399-nucleotide ribosomal RNA is filed under the name uncultured bacterium. RNAcentral's name for it is "bacterial SSU rRNA". It matches the Rfam family "Bacterial small subunit ribosomal RNA", at positions 28 to 430 of the family's 1533-position model. The record is from RNAcentral.